UGUUUAUUUUACCUUGUUGCUUCGGCGGGCCCGCCUUUACUGGCCGCCGGGGGGCUCACGCCCCCGGGCCCGCGCCCGCCGAAGACACCCCCGAACUCUGUCUGAAGAUUGAAGUCUGAGUGAAAAUAUAAAUUAUUUAAAACUUUCAACAACGGAUCUCUUGGUUCCGGCAUCGAUGAAGAACGCAGCGAAAUGCGAUACGUAAUGUGAAUUGCAAAUUCAGUGAAUCAUCGAGUCUUUGAACGCACAUUGCGCCCCCUGGUAUUCCGGGGGGCAUGCCUGUCCGAGCGUCAUUGCUGCCCUCAAGCCCGGCUUGUGUGUUGGGCCCCGUCCUCCGAUUCCGGGGGACGGGCCCGAAAGGCAGCGGCGGCACCGCGUCCGGUCCUCGAGCGUAUGGGGCUUUGUCACCCGCUCUGUAGGCCCGGCCGGCGCUUGCCGAUCAACCCAAAUUUUUAUCCAGGUUGACCUCGGAUCAGGUAGGGAUACCCGCUGAACUUAAGCAUAUCAAUAAGCGGAGGAA
RNAcentral lists this unclassified non-coding RNA (520 nucleotides) under Penicillium polonicum. RNAcentral's name for it is "sequence contains ITS1, 5.8S rRNA gene". The stretch from base 141 to 293 matches the Rfam family "5.8S ribosomal RNA". Lineage: Eukaryota; Fungi; Ascomycota; Eurotiomycetes; Eurotiales; Aspergillaceae. The record is from RNAcentral.